GAAAAGUAUUAAAAUAAAUUAUAUACAAUAAUAAAACUAAUCAAGUCCAAACACUUUAAGUGCACCAAAUGCAGUCCUAGAUAUAACAUUAUUUCUAUGAUCAUUAAUCUUCCUUGUUUUAUAUCUCUGUUUUGUCUAGGAGAAAUUUCCAUGGAACAGGCAACUCUUGUAAGGGAUGUUCAUUCAAAAGUUUUUCUUUUUUCCCUUUGGUAUAUAUCCCCAUGGUCUCAGCCAAUGUUGGAUGUUUUUCCUUUCUUAAGGUUCGUAUCACCUCAGCCUCUUGCCAGUUCACUUGCAAAUUGUUCUCAUAUACUGAUGCUGCUAAAACUGUGUUCAUUUUUCCUUUAACAACGCUCCUUUUGUGUUCUUUUAAUUUUUAGUCCAAUGUUCUUGCUGUUACUCCUAUGUAAGUCUCGUUCUUAUGGGUUUUAUUUACAAGAGUGGCGCUUUUGGCUAUUGCCAUCAUCAGCUCUCAUAGUACAUCAAAAUUUGCUCUUAUUGGAAUUUACAACUUCUAUCAGAGCAUUAAAGAUUUGUUCCAAAGUUCUAGAAGAUAAAAUUUUAAAUUUAAAUUUACAAAAAUGUGCGAGUAUCUUAUGGUAAACAAUAAAAUAUGAGUAAUAUACACACUAUUUAUAUUUUUAGAGUCUCUAUUUCAAGAGGUACCUCCAUGAGAGCUGAUGAUGACGAUAGCCGAAAGUGCUAUUCUCAUAAAUAAAAUUAUAUUGAUUAGUUUGAGUGAAACUGGGACUGCUUAAUAGUGCUGGAAGUUAGCAUAACCUUAAAGUUU
RNAcentral lists this long non-coding RNA (790 nucleotides) under Androctonus crassicauda. The record is from RNAcentral. Lineage: Eukaryota; Metazoa; Arthropoda; Arachnida; Scorpiones; Buthidae.